ACCUGGCUGGCUCAGUUGGUAGAGCAUGCAUCUCUUGAUCUCAAGGUUGUGAGUUCCAGCCCCAUGUUGGGUG
This 73-nucleotide transfer RNA is filed under the name Felis catus (domestic cat). It matches the Rfam family "tRNA". Rfam says of the family: Transfer RNA (tRNA) molecules are approximately 80 nucleotides in length. Their secondary structure includes four short double-helical elements and three loops (D, anti-codon, and T loops). RNAcentral also lists the same sequence under 3 other names. The record is from Rfam by way of RNAcentral. Lineage: Eukaryota; Metazoa; Chordata; Mammalia; Carnivora; Felidae.